CUGGCAAUGGUUAAAUAAGUAUUUCUUAGACAGAAACAUUUACUGUUGGGAACAAAGUUUUUCCUUUCAAAUAGGAAAAAAAUUGGUGACAAGAAGCAAAACAGACGAAUGAAGAAGCCAUGGAGACCAUCAGCUAUAUCACUGCAAUGAGCAACUAGUUAAUGUGGAAUUCCCUGAUAACUAGCUGUUUUGGCACCUUUGAUGACAUUCUCAAUGAGGCUGUAGACUGAAUGACUAUGAAGACUAAACUGUGUACUUUAUCCCCUGCAGGACAAAUUUAGAG
This 283-nucleotide long non-coding RNA is filed under the name Anas platyrhynchos platyrhynchos (common mallard). RNAcentral's name for it is "lncRNA (ENSAPLG00000020837.1)". Lineage: Eukaryota; Metazoa; Chordata; Aves; Anseriformes; Anatidae. The record is from RNAcentral.